Molecule: long non-coding RNA, 773 nt
Filed under: Homo sapiens (human)
Lineage: Eukaryota; Metazoa; Chordata; Mammalia; Primates; Hominidae
Description: long intergenic non-protein coding RNA 1858
Source: RNAcentral
AGAUGAUGUGACUCUCAUUUCCUACCUGGUCCCUGCUCACAUGGGGAAUUUUGACAUCUCACUUGUCCCAGUGCCAAACAAAUGUGACUCUUCAUAAGUUCUGCUUGCGAGAGAUAUUAAGACAUCUUGUGGAGCUUAACAACAAUGUGACAUUACUGUUUUGUCUUGGCCUGGACCUCAAAAGGCAUUGUGACAUAUUGCUGGGCCCAGCAACAAGGUGUGAUUUUGACAUACACCUCUGCCUUGCACCUGAGUAAUGUGACUCUUUAGCACCAGCACAGCCUACAGAUAGGAUUGUGCCACACUGCUGGACCCAGCACCUAGGUGACGUAACUCUAUUCUCCUGCUUUGGUGCUACCCAAAAAGGACAUUGUAACAUAUCUCAGAGCCUUGCUCCCAGGUGAUGCUACUCUCUACUUAUGGCUGGGCCUUGACAAAAAGAGGGAUUGGGACAUAUCCCUGGACGCUGAACCUAAGAGGUGGAGGUUGCCGUGGUGACAGAGUGAGACUUCGCCAAAACAAAACAAAAAAAACAACAACAAAAAGGGGUACUUUCUGCCCACAAAUGAGAUUGUGGCAUCUAACCCUAAGGUGAUGUUACUUCUUUGCUCUGGCUGUGCCCUUAGAAAACACUGAAACAUACUGCUGGGUCCAGCACCAAGAUUAUGUGAGUUUUCUGCCUGAACCCUGACCACAGGAAGCAUUGUAACAUAUCUCUUGACCCAUUGCAAUUUCUCCUAUGGGCAAAGCCCAGGUAAAUGCCUUCUUUUUUC